GUCUACGGCCAUACUAUUCUGAAUGCUCCCGCUGUUGUCUGAUCUUGGAAGCUAAGCAGACUCAGGUUUGGUUAGUACUUGGAUGGGAGGCCGCCUGGGAAUACGGGGCUUGCAACAACCC
This is a non-coding RNA of Podarcis lilfordi (Lilford's wall lizard), 121 nucleotides long. The record is from the annotation of a GenBank genome assembly. Lineage: Eukaryota; Metazoa; Chordata; Lepidosauria; Squamata; Lacertidae.